This is a non-coding RNA of Nicotiana tabacum (common tobacco), 1178 nucleotides long. The record is from RefSeq and is a predicted model, not a curated record. NCBI's taxonomy places the organism in Eukaryota, Viridiplantae, Streptophyta, Magnoliopsida, Solanales, Solanaceae.
UAACAUCUAAAACCCUAGGGGGGACUUUGGGGGAGCAGCAAGGCAGAGAACGGACUACCCUAGGACAACCGCCUCCCCCUCCUGAACUUUUUGAUCUUCUUUCUUUGAAUCUCUAAGGGACCAGCAGAGAAUUCACCUGAACAUAGGGAAAAGAGUGACGAGAGGGAGAGAAAUAGAGGGAACGAUAUAGUGAGAACGAGAGUGAGAAGGGAACGACCAGAAUUUCAUUAAAAGAAAUGGAAAAACGCUACAGAGAGGCUACGUGAGUUUGAUCACGCACUAAAAAAGACGAACGGAAGUACUGUCCUUCAAAUUUUGGUUUUAAAAAUGGAGGUCACCCGAGGUUGUGUUUGAUUCGAGGUUUCCGGUCCGGGUUCGUGAGCUUGAAGCAACCGUUGAUGUGCACUUGAUUUGGAUCUCUAUUGUUUAAUAUUUAAUAUAAAAGGAAGAUUCGUCAAAGUUUCUUUGAUGUCGAUGAAGAAAUCUUGCUCACAAUUUUGGCAAUAAGGGGUUGCCACUGCAGCACCGAAAGCUUCUUCGUAUCAAGAGGUACCCAACUCUUUUGCUUAUAACAUUUGUUGGUACCUCUAAUGUUCCAAACCAACCAAGACAUCAGGUAGAUUUGGAUGUACCACAUGUAGAUGGUACUGACAAAUUAGCCAUCACUGCUACAUUUGUCUGUUGGCUUGAUCUUUGCUUACCAGGUGACAUAACUAUUUAUGCAUAUUUCAGGGGUAUGCCAUUUAUUUCUGUUACUUUCUUCCCUUUAUCAUGAUUUUUUUGCUGGCCUUCUUCAAGAAUUGGUUCUGCUUCUCUACUCACAUCAUCACAUGUAUUAAGCCCUUGUUGAUUCAACAUCAUUGUCUUCCCCUGAAUAACAUUGUGUGUAGGAGCUAACACAACUCCUGUAGUCUUCCAUACUUGCUUCACAGGCUAUGGCCUACUUCUUUAGGCUGUUGAACUUGAUUUACCUCCUCUUUGCAAGCCUUUGUGCAGUCAUGACUAAUUUUUAAGCACUUUAUUUCCAUGAAAUCUGUCAUAAAUAAACUCUAUGAACUUCCCCACUAAUGCCCCGCAUGGCGCAUUGGAGAAGGUGUUUUCGUAUGGGCCCGACCCUACUUUGUAUAAAUACAUAUAAAAAUGUGAUUUUAUGGACUUUUGACACAUCUUAGACCUAA